This 831-nucleotide ribosomal RNA is filed under the name Farasanispora avicenniae. RNAcentral describes it as "SSU rRNA". It matches the Rfam family "Eukaryotic small subunit ribosomal RNA", at positions 269 to 1104 of the family's 1831-position model. The record is from RNAcentral. Lineage: Eukaryota; Fungi; Ascomycota; Dothideomycetes; Pleosporales.
UCGCAUGGCCUUGCGCCGGCGACGGUUCAUUCAAAUUUCUGCCCUAUCAACUUUCGAUGGUAAGGUCUUGGCUUACCAUGGUUUCAACGGGUAACGGGGAAUUAGGGUUCGAUUCCGGAGAGGGAGCCUGAGAAACGGCUACCACAUCCAAGGAAGGCAGCAGGCGCGCAAAUUACCCAAUCCCGACACGGGGAGGUAGUGACAAUAAAUACUGAUACAGGGCUCUUUUGGGUCUUGUAAUUGGAAUGAGUACAAUUUAAACCUCUUAACGAGGAACAAUUGGAGGGCAAGUCUGGUGCCAGCAGCCGCGGUAAUUCCAGCUCCAAUAGCGUAUAUUAAAGUUGUUGCAGUUAAAAAGCUCGUAGUUGAACCUUGGGCCUGGCUGGCGGGUCCGCCUCACCGCGUGUACUCGACCGGCCGGGCCUUUCCUUCUGGAGAACCUCAUGCCCUUCACUGGGUGUGCUGGGGAACCAGGACUUUUACUGUGAAAAAAUUAGAGUGUUCAAAGCAGGCCUUUGCUCGAAUACGUUAGCAUGGAAUAAUAGAAUAGGACGUGCGGUCCUAUUUUGUUGGUUUCUAGGACCGCCGUAAUGAUUAAUAGGGACAGUCGGGGGCAUCAGUAUUCAAUUGUCAGAGGUGAAAUUCUUGGAUUUAUUGAAGACUAACUACUGCGAAAGCAUUUGCCAAGGAUGUUUUCAUUAAUCAGUGAACGAAAGUUAGGGGAUCGAAGACGAUCAGAUACCGUCGUAGUCUUAACCGUAAACUAUGCCGACUAGGGAUCGGGCGUUGUUUAUACCUUGACACGCUCGGCACCUUACGAGAAAUCAAAGU